GAAUAUUGCGCAAUGGGGGAAACCCUGACGCAGCAACGCCGCGUGAGCGAUGAAGGUCUUCGGAUUGUAAAGCUCUGUCUUUUGGGACGAUAAUGACGGUACCAAAGGAGGAAGCCACGGCUAACUACGUGCCAGCAGCCGCGGUAAUACGUAGGUGGCAAGCGUUGUCCGGAAUUACUGGGCGUAAAGAGUAUGUAGGCGGAUAUUUAAGUCAGAUGUGAAAUUCCCGGGCUUAACCUGGGCGCUGCAUUUGAUACUGGAUAUCUAGAGUGUGGGAGAGGAAAGUGGAAUUCCUAGUGUAGCGGUGAAAUGCGUAGAGAUUAGGAAGAACACCAGUGGCGAAGGCGGCUUUCUGGACCAUAACUGACGCUGAGAUACGAAAGCGUGGGGAGCAAAC
This 397-nucleotide ribosomal RNA is filed under the name uncultured bacterium. RNAcentral describes it as "bacterial SSU rRNA". It matches the Rfam family "Bacterial small subunit ribosomal RNA", at positions 359 to 773 of the family's 1533-position model. The record is from RNAcentral.